GCGGGAGUGGCGAGAUUGGUAGACGCGCAGGACUUAGGAUCCUGUGCCGCAAGGCGUGUGGGUUCGAGUCCCACCUCUCGCA
RNAcentral lists this transfer RNA (82 nucleotides) under Gemmatimonadota bacterium. RNAcentral describes it as "Gemmatimonadetes bacterium (freshwater metagenome) tRNA-Leu". It matches the Rfam family "tRNA". From Rfam's summary of the family: Transfer RNA (tRNA) molecules are approximately 80 nucleotides in length. Their secondary structure includes four short double-helical elements and three loops (D, anti-codon, and T loops). Further hydrogen bonds mediate the characteristic L-shaped molecular structure. tRNAs have two regions of fundamental functional importance: the anti-codon, which is responsible for specific mRNA codon recognition, and the 3' end, to which the tRNAs corresponding amino acid is attached (by aminoacyl-tRNA synthetases). tRNAs cope with the degeneracy of the genetic code in two manners: having more than one tRNA (with a specific anti-codon) for a particular amino acid; and 'wobble' base-pairing, i.e. permitting non-standard base-pairing at the 3rd anti-codon position. Lineage: Bacteria; Pseudomonadati; Gemmatimonadota. The record is from RNAcentral.